This is a long non-coding RNA of Cucumis sativus (cucumber), 271 nucleotides long. RefSeq lists it as uncharacterized. The record is from RefSeq and is a predicted model, not a curated record. NCBI's taxonomy places the organism in Eukaryota, Viridiplantae, Streptophyta, Magnoliopsida, Cucurbitales, Cucurbitaceae. The transcript has 2 exons.
GGUUGGUAAUGUAGAAAGGAUACAUGUAUACUAUGCCCAUGGACUAGAUAGCCCAACCUUUGUUCGCCGGUGUUAUUGGCUCCUAGAUAAGACCUUUGAACACAUUGUCCUUGUUCAUUACCGUGAAACACAAGAGGUUAGGUUCAGCACAAUGCAUCUGCAGUUACUGAAAUAUUAUCUUGAGACAAACUUUUAUCAUUUGGACUACUACAUCUAUUUAAGAUUUGCUGAUUUUUCCUCCAUGGUUACAAUAUUAGAACUUCAUCCAAAA